AUACGGAGGAUCCGAGCGUUAUCCGGAUUUAUUGGGUUUAAAGGGAGCGUAGGCGGACGCUUAAGUCAGUUGUGAAAGUUUGCGGCUCAACCGUAAAAUUGCAGUUGAUACUGGGUGUCUUGAGUACAGUAGAGGCAGGGGGAAGUCGUGGUGUAGCGGGGAAAUGCUUAGAUAUCACGAAGAACUCCGAUUGCGAAGGCAGCCUGCUGGACUGUAACUGACGCUGAUGCUCGAAAGUGUGGGUAUCAAACAGGAUUAGAUACCCUGGUAGUCCACACAGUAAACGAUGAAUACUCGCUGUUUGCGAUAUACAGUAAGCGGCCAAGCGAAAGCGUUAAGUAUUCCACCUGGGGAGUACGCCGGCAACGGUGAAACUUAAAGGAAUUGACGGGG
Molecule: ribosomal RNA, 393 nt
Filed under: uncultured bacterium
Lineage: Bacteria
Description: partial 16S ribosomal RNA
Rfam family: Bacterial small subunit ribosomal RNA
Source: RNAcentral